UUAAGUUCAGCGGGUAUCCCCGCCCGAUUCGAGGUCUAGGGGUGGUCAAUGCCUCGUCCUGUGUCCCGCGCGCGAACAAGGCCCGUAGGGCACGACUACUACGCUUAGGGCUGUUAGGGCUAGGCAGCUAAUGAAUUUCGAGGGGCCGCCCGGCUAGGCGGUUCCCCCAACACCGAGCCACGAGGGCCCGAGGGGUUUAG
Molecule: unclassified non-coding RNA, 200 nt
Filed under: fungal sp.
Lineage: Eukaryota; Fungi
Description: partial internal transcribed spacer 2
Source: RNAcentral